RNAcentral lists this ribosomal RNA (446 nucleotides) under uncultured bacterium. Its description in RNAcentral is "partial 16S ribosomal RNA". It matches the Rfam family "Bacterial small subunit ribosomal RNA", at positions 29 to 523 of the family's 1533-position model. The record is from RNAcentral.
AGUGAACGCUGGCGGCAGGCUUAACACAUGCAAGUCGAACGCACCGCAAGGUGAGUGGCAGACGGGUGAGUAACGCGUGGGAACCUUCCCUUUGGUUCAGGAUAGCUCCGGGAAACUGGAAUUAAUACUGGAUAAGAUCUACGGAUGAAAGAUUUAUCGCCGAAGGAUGGGCCCGCGUAAGAUUAGCUAGUUGGUGAGGUGAUGGCUCACCAAGGCAAUGAUCUUUAGCUGUCUGAGAGGAUGAUCAGCCACACUGGAACUGAGACACGGUCCAGACUCCUACGGGAGGCAGCAGUGAGGAAUAUUGGACAAUGGGCGCAAGCCUGAUCCAGCCAUGCCGCGUGAGUGACGAAGGCCCUAGGGUUGUAAAACUCUUUUAGUGGGGAAAAUAAUGAUGGUACCCACAGAAAAAGCUCCGGCUAACUUCGUGCCAGCCGCCGCGGUAA